UGAUCUUAUUAAUUGCUCUCAGAUCUGUCA
Molecule: non-coding RNA, 30 nt
Filed under: Rattus norvegicus (Norway rat)
Lineage: Eukaryota; Metazoa; Chordata; Mammalia; Rodentia; Muridae
Source: RNAcentral